UACGUAAGUGGCGAGCGUUAUCCGGAAUCACUGGGCGUAAAGCGUGCGUAGGCGGUUUGGCAAGUUGGAUUUGAAAGCCCGGGGCUCAACUCCGGACCCGGAUCCAAAACUGCCAGACUAGAGCGGAUCAGAGGACAGUGGAAUUCCCGGUGUAGCGGUAAUAUGCGUAGAUAUCGGGAGGAACACCAGUGGCGAAGGCGACUGUCUGGGGUCUUGCUGACGCUGAGGCACGAAAGCCAGGGGAGCGAACGGG
This 253-nucleotide ribosomal RNA is filed under the name uncultured bacterium. Its description in RNAcentral is "partial 16S ribosomal RNA". It matches the Rfam family "Bacterial small subunit ribosomal RNA", at positions 524 to 776 of the family's 1533-position model. The record is from RNAcentral.